This 366-nucleotide ribosomal RNA is filed under the name uncultured bacterium. RNAcentral describes it as "bacterial SSU rRNA". It matches the Rfam family "Bacterial small subunit ribosomal RNA", at positions 28 to 399 of the family's 1533-position model. The record is from RNAcentral.
GACGAACGCUGGCGGCGUGCUUAACACAUGCAAGUCGAGCGGAAAGGCCCUUCGGGGUACUCGAGCGGCGAACGGGUGAGUAACACGUGAGUAACCUGCCCUUCACUUUGGGAUAACCCUCGGAAACGGGGGCUAAUACCGGAUAUGACAUGGGAUCGCAUGGUCUUGUGUGGAAAGUUUUUCGGUGGGGGAUGGGCUCGCGGCCUAUCAGCUUGUUGGUGGGGUGAUGGCCUACCAAGGCGACGACGGGUAGCCGGCCUGAGAGGGCGACCGGCCACACUGGGACUGAGACACGGCCCAGACUCCUACGGGAGGCAGCAGUGGGGAAUAUUGCACAAUGGGCGGAAGCCUGAUGCAGCGACGCCG